GAGUUCCAAGCCAGCUAGGGGCUACAUAGUGAGGCCCUGUCCAAAUAAAAUAAUAUAAAAAUGAGUAGGCUGUCUCUCUGGUCUUUCGAAGUUCCUGUGUGGUGUGCCACUACCCUGUGAAUUUUUACUUUCCUGGGAGUGUGUGUAUGAAAGCAAUGGGUUGCUAUGGAGACCUUUGUAUUUGGAAUAAUGUGAUCUGGCAUUCAGAAGAGAGGACAGAAUACUCCAUUGAGACACUAAGUGGAGACAGUAAAAGACCUUCUGCAAGGCAGCACCACUGUGCUGCAAAUGCUGCACCUCAAGGACUUUUUGAACAGAAAAAAGCCUCUGAGGAUGAAGAAGACCACCCUGCUUUCUUUAUGAGCAUUACAUCUAUGUUCAAGUCCCAAUAUAUGGCUGACACUAGCCUUGAACUUUGAAUGAUUCUUGUGUCUAAGUGCUGGGAUUGCAGGACUGGAAAUUUUGAACAGCUGGGUUUGUUUGUCCAGAAUGUUCCAUGUUGUGACUUUGAAUCAAACACAAUCUUCAAAAACUUAUUAAGACCUUCGCCUGAUCUCAAUGCUGGGGGCAGUAUGAAGCUGAAAGGAUUUCCAGCUCUAAUGACUUUGCCAGAUUGCUAUUUGCUGGUGGAAAGAUGGCAGCCUGAUUCAGUUUUAUGGGGUAGAAAGGAAGAAAUCAAAGUAUGCGAAUGAUUAAAUUGGAAGUCAUUUCCGUUGGAUGGUUGAGAAGAAGAGAAGAGUAAUUGAGAGACUCCUGAUUGAGAUUGUUUGCCAGAGAACGGAAGCUUACCAGGAAAUAGAAUGGUAAUUGAGGAAACAGACAGAGCCUUGUCCCCAUCCCCAGAGUACUACUCAAAUGGAUUGCCUGUGCUCCUGGAGAGUUGGAACAGACUGACUUCUUGUAUUAGAAAAUGUCUAAUUUAUGGAUCCAUUUCCCACUGAGAUUCUUGCUAGGUGCUGAAAUUCCUCUUACCCCAUUUCAACAUUUACAGGUAGUGUACUUAUACGUGUACUAAAUAAAAUCUGGUACAAUA
Molecule: non-coding RNA, 1033 nt
Organism: Rattus norvegicus (Norway rat)
Lineage: Eukaryota; Metazoa; Chordata; Mammalia; Rodentia; Muridae
Source: RefSeq, a predicted model, not a curated record